This is a long non-coding RNA of Lacerta agilis (Sand lizard), 531 nucleotides long. RefSeq lists it as uncharacterized. The record is from RefSeq and is a predicted model, not a curated record. Lineage: Eukaryota; Metazoa; Chordata; Lepidosauria; Squamata; Lacertidae. The transcript has 3 exons.
GUCGGAGGGCAGUUUUAGGAUCAGUAAUCCAGGCCUGAUAAACGAACUGGAGGGAAAAACCAAUUUAUUCCAAGUUCCUCACACUAAAGCCUACAAGCAAGCUCAUUGGAUUUGAACUCUUAUAGUGAAUUCAAAAUGUUUUUAGUGCGUCUUGCACAUAAGUGACAUACUGUAUACAUUAUGCAUAGCAUCACAAAUAGUACUAAAGGAAGUCCCAAGACAGGCUAAUGGAUUACUGAUACCAGAAUGAUGAUGCACAUGGACAGGAAGUGUGAAGGCAGCACUCCGAAAAAAGGAAACCCACAAGAAUCUAACAUUAAAUCAGAUUCACUUAUAUUGCCUUAAUCCAGAGGAACUAAAGGAACACCAAGAUGCUUCACUUUGAAUCAAGAUAUGCAUGCAUGAAUCAAGUUGCUGGAUGCUGGUGCAGCUAAAUACUUACCUUUCUCUACCUAUGAUAUAAAUUUAUUUUGAUUACCUCAUGACCCCGCCCCCCCAUUUGACUAUUACGCUGAAUAAAAAAAUACUUGU